GAUCUAUGAUCUAUCUGGAGGUACAGGUUGAAUUGCGUCCCAUACCAUAGACAUUGUGGGUGGUCUCAAUUUUCAUGUUCGCCUCUCAUGAUGGCUUGCAGUCGCCUUAGGCUGCCGCCUUGACAUGGUGCAAUCAAAAUCUGCACCCGCAUCUACUUCUGAACCCUGCUAGCUUGACACUAUAUAGCUGCAAUCUUUAAUUAUUCAGCAUCGCCUUUAUUAUGGCUCCUAACAACCGUGUAGUUUCCACCCCUCUGUCAAUCUUACUGCCCAAUAACCCAGUGCAGCAGCUUUCUGUUUGUUUUGCCCAUGUCCCAUGCAUUCCCAGUGUCAAGAUACGAGAGUCCUGCGCGGUUUUGCUUUUGCUCUCACGUCUCAUCUUUGGACAAUAUCUCAUGUGAUGUUUAAGAAAUUUUAUCUCAUUAUAAUAUACUUAAUAGACUAGAUUGUAGUUGGUAGCACUUAUUUCUUUUCUAUUUCAGGUAAAUUUUCUCUCUCAAAGUACAAAUCUGAUGCAAAGCCUUUGUAGUCCACGACUCAGGGAAUGAUCUCAUUCUGAACACAGGAAUACUACUACUUAUCUGUUUUCCUAUCGAGACUUAUCAUAUGUUUGGCAUUCCGCUGCAUGAUAAUGAACUUAAACAACCAGUCUUUUCCUUCAAUUUUGUUUAAGAAAAACCAAUCUGAGCAUAUACCUAUUUUCUAAUAGCAGAUUAUAUAAUAAGCUGGGGGAAAAGGUCAUUAUUUCUCUAUGUUUCUCUUAGAGGCAUAUGUCCAGUGAUGUUUAAUCAAUUUUAUCUCAUUACAAUAAAAUCAAUGGUCUGGAUCUUAUUAGAAAUUUUGUGGUGCAUAUGUCUUUAUGAUAUUAAACUAGAUUUAUAAAACAAUUCAGUCAUGGCAGCUCUUAUUUCUUUUCUAUUUCAGGUGAGGUCAAAUAAUUAAUAGACUGACAACUAGGGCAUUCAUCUACAUACAUGGUGGGACUUGAAACUUUAUUUGUUAGUACAAAAUGAUAUUCUUUUGUUGUGGAGAUGCAUAUGAUAAACUCUGCGUCACUGCAAGAGUUAACUUAAAUUAUUGUACAAAUGGUUUUCUCUCAGUUGACCACAAUAGCCAUUUUUAACAAGGUUGGCAUAAUGUUCUCAGUUUCUUCACUUGGAUCUCACAUUGAGGUUGAAGCCACUUCCACACUGAGGUUGCCGUCUGGAGGAACCAUGAUGGACUGGUGACGCCACUAUUCAUACAACAACCUUUGUUCUCUGUUCCAGUAUACAGUUUGGAGAUGCCACAUAGAUAUAAUAAGCCGAAUAUUUAGAGUAUAUGGAUGCCGCUAUAUCUAAUUCUCCCAACAGUACUCAACACUAGGAUCUCCAAAAAAGGCUGCCAGCACAAAGUUAUUGAAUAACCUUAUAUUGUGUGCUGAUCUAGGUACGGAACUGAUUCACCUCUUCAUAGGUUUCUAGCUCUCGGAUUUUUUGUUCAUGUUGCAACAACAUUACAUCAUUUUUACAGUCAAAAUUAAUGCAGAAUCCAUUUCUCUGUACUAAUGCCCACACUCCUAUCUGUCUUUCCGGACUAUUGUUCCAUUACUUUACUACUAUGCUUUGGUAACUGGAGUUAUUAAUUUGGAAGUCUAAUGACUUCUGUAUGCGUGGUUUGCUUGCAUAGAAGAUUAAUCCUGCAGAACAUUGGCAACAAAGUAUAUAUCAGAGCAAGAGAGUAGAGCUAGAUUAAACAAUCCUCACCAGCCUUCAUCCGUACUGAUGUGGAUGCAAACAGGAGCAGCAAUCUGACCCGGAACCGGGCAAUCCACAGCAAUUGUUUAAAACCAACGCGUCAACUUGAUUGCUUGGUGACGUCGAGUCAGAUUCUUAUCCGGUUUUGUUUGCAGCGGAAAAAACGAUCUAUACUCGGAUUCAACGGGUCGCCGUGCAACGCGUGAGGCGCCGCACAUGAACCCUAAAAACUCUACAAAUCUCGUAUCUGCUGGCUCCAAGAAUUCGAACCAUAACUCUGAUCUUCCCACGA
This is a long non-coding RNA of Triticum aestivum (bread wheat), 2028 nucleotides long. RefSeq lists it as uncharacterized. The transcript is spliced from 4 exons. NCBI's taxonomy places the organism in Eukaryota, Viridiplantae, Streptophyta, Magnoliopsida, Poales, Poaceae. The record is from RefSeq and is a predicted model, not a curated record.